AGGUGGGUGAAGCUGACUAUUUAUAGGAGCAAUCAUUGGGUGAUCAUUAGGAAUCCUUAGAUGUGGGACUCAGCAUUAUAGCUUGCAAGGUCUUGUUCUUUUUGAAAGUUUAUGAGCUGAGUUCUGUUUUGCUUUGUAGCAGAUUUGAUACCUUCAAAAGUGAUGGCUGCAGUAGGUUGGCAUGGGGCUGUUAUAGGAAUUAAAAGGGAUUGGAGGGUUAUAGUAAUGGUUAGAAAUGUUAGCUGAAUUCUGCUAUGGAUUGCAAAAUCUAUUAGGAGUUUUUUCUUUUGUUUGGAAUACUGCAAUGUCUUGGUAGGUAAGUAAGAAUGGAGUCACAACAUGGGAGAGUUGGAUGAAGACAUGGCUUGAGGCUUGAGGCCAGAGCGGUGCAUUUGAAAGACUUUGAAACCCCUCUUUUUUGUAGUUCUCUUUGAUGUAACUUCACUUCUUG
This is a long non-coding RNA of Vicia villosa (hairy vetch), 451 nucleotides long. RefSeq lists it as uncharacterized. The record is from RefSeq and is a predicted model, not a curated record. Lineage: Eukaryota; Viridiplantae; Streptophyta; Magnoliopsida; Fabales; Fabaceae. The transcript has 4 exons.